CCCAGUUCGGACUGUAGUCUGCAACCCGACUACACGAAGCUGGAAUCGCUAGUAAUCGCGAAUCAGAAUGUCGCGGUGAAUACGUUCCCGGGUCUUGUACACACCGCCCGUCACACCAUGGGAGUCGGGAAUGCCCGAAGUCAGUGACCCAACCAUAUGGAGGGAGCUGCCGAAGGCAGGUCUGAUAACUGGGGUGAAGUCGUAACAAGGUACC
Molecule: ribosomal RNA, 214 nt
Filed under: uncultured bacterium
Lineage: Bacteria
Description: partial 16S ribosomal RNA
Rfam family: Bacterial small subunit ribosomal RNA
Source: RNAcentral